RNAcentral lists this long non-coding RNA (395 nucleotides) under Capsicum annuum. RNAcentral's name for it is "long non-coding RNA (CANN_LNC016437)". Lineage: Eukaryota; Viridiplantae; Streptophyta; Magnoliopsida; Solanales; Solanaceae. The record is from RNAcentral.
UGUGUUGGUGACGUGAUUUGUGGCUGAUUUUGUGUUGGUUGUGCUUGUCUUGACAAAAGGAACCUAGAUCUAAAAGAAAAAUUGAAUUCGGGGUUCAUUUGCCUAGUGGUCAAACCUUGGUCAACUCUUGAAUAUUCAUAUUUUUCUUCCUUAAUCUUCAUAUCUUGUUGGAGAAGAAUAUUCAAAAGUUCUUGUUUGAUCUUGAAAAGGGAGGAAAGAGAGUGUACUAGUUGUUCAAGGUAAUUUCCAAGAAGCUUCCUAGUCUUGCCAAAAGAAGAAAACAACAAAGACAAAAGGAAUCUUCAAGUACAAUUACAAGUACAAGGGGGGACCAAUUCAUUUCUAAUCCAUUUUGAAGCUUGAAAAUGCUUCAAACUUGAAUAUUUUUCCCUCCA